RNAcentral lists this ribozyme (114 nucleotides) under Aedes aegypti (yellow fever mosquito). Its description in RNAcentral is "drz-agam-1 ribozyme". It matches the Rfam family "drz-agam-1 ribozyme". Lineage: Eukaryota; Metazoa; Arthropoda; Insecta; Diptera; Culicidae. The record is from Rfam by way of RNAcentral.
UGCCCAGCAACUCCUGUCCCUACCUCCUCGCGGUACUGGCCAGGGUACGAGCAACCUUAGGGAAGAUCGGGUAACCAAACUCGGUGAAAACUGUGGUCGUUUGCUGAUAGGAGG